Molecule: ribosomal RNA, 836 nt
Filed under: Enterococcus sp. Gull12_E07_2
Lineage: Bacteria; Bacillati; Bacillota; Bacilli; Lactobacillales; Enterococcaceae
Description: bacterial SSU rRNA
Rfam family: Bacterial small subunit ribosomal RNA
Source: RNAcentral
UCUUUUUCCACCGGAGCUUGCUCCACCGGAAAAAGANGAGUGGCGAACGGGUGAGUAACACGUGGGUAACCUGCCCAUCAGAAGGGGAUAACACUUGGAAACAGGUGCUAAUACCGUAUAACAAUCNAAACCGCAUGGUUUUGAUUUGAAAGGCGCUUUCGGGUGUCGCUGAUGGAUGGACCCGCGGUGCAUUAGCUAGUUGGUGAGGUAACGGCUCACCAAGGCCACGAUGCAUAGCCGACCUGAGAGGGUGAUCGGCCACAUUGGGACUGAGACACGGCCCAAACUCCUACGGGAGGCAGCAGUAGGGAAUCUUCGGCAAUGGACGAAAGUCUGACCGAGCAACGCCGCGUGAGUGAAGAAGGUUUUCGGAUCGUAAAACUCUGUUGUUAGAGAAGAACAAGGAUGAGAGUAACUGUUCAUCCCUUGACGGUAUCUAACCAGAAAGCCACGGCUAACUACGUGCCAGCAGCCGCGGUAAUACGUAGGUGGCAAGCGUUGUCCGGAUUUAUUGGGCGUAAAGCGAGCGCAGGCGGUUUCUUAAGUCUGAUGUGAAAGCCCCCGGCUCAACCGGGGAGGGUCAUUGGAAACUGGGAGACUUGAGUGCAGAAGAGGAGAGUGGAAUUCCAUGUGUAGCGGUGAAAUGCGUAGAUAUAUGGAGGAACACCAGUGGCGAAGGCGGCUCUCUGGUCUGUAACUGACGCUGAGGCUCGAAAGCGUGGGGAGCAAACAGGAUUAGAUACCCUGGUAGUCCACGCCGUAAAGAUGAGUGCUAAGUGUUGGAGGGUUUCCGCCCUUCAGUGCUGCAGCUAACGCAUUAAGCACUCCGCCUGGGG